RNAcentral lists this ribosomal RNA (442 nucleotides) under uncultured bacterium. Its description in RNAcentral is "partial 16S ribosomal RNA". It matches the Rfam family "Bacterial small subunit ribosomal RNA", at positions 338 to 795 of the family's 1533-position model. The record is from RNAcentral.
CCUACGGGUGGCAGCAGUAGGGAAUAUUGGGCAAUGGGCGCAAGCCUGACCCAGCAACGCCGCGUGAAGGAUGAAGGCUUUCGGGUUGUAAACUUCUUUUGUCAGGGAAGAGUAGAAGACGGUACCUGGAGUAUAAGCCACGGCUAAAUACGUGCGAGCGGCCGAGGUAAUACGUAGGUGGCAAGCGUUGUGAGGAUUUAGUGGGUGAAAAGGGCGUGUAGUGGGGUUGACAAGUCAGAUGUGAAAUUCUGCGGCUUAACCGUAGAACUGCAUUUGAAACUGUUGAUCUUGAGUAGUGGAGAGGCAGGCGGAAUUCCUGGUGUAGCGGUUAAAUGCGUAGAUAUUAAGAGGAACACCCGUUGCGAAGGCGGCCUGCUGGACAGCAACUGACGCUGAGGCGCGAAAGCGUGGGGAGCAAACAGGAUUAGAUACCCCAGUAGUC